ACAACCAGUUGUGAAAACAGGUACUCUGGACCAACCAACAAUAUUUGCAGACUUGCAACCUCGAGAGUCCAAAUAUAAGAAUUAGGAACAACAAUAAUUUCUAAACAACUCCAGAGGAUAGAUCAACAUUUUCUAAUAGUGUCUAUAGUAAUUAUUUAAAUUAAUUAUGUUAUUACUGAUUGGAACUUCGAAUUGCCUUUGAUGAUAUUUUCUUCCAAAUGAUAGAAGAUCAAUAGUAAAUAAAAGUUGUAGAUAAAAACAGAAGUUUACCACAUAACUCUUUUCCGUUGAAA
This 293-nucleotide unclassified non-coding RNA is filed under the name Hevea brasiliensis (rubber tree). The record is from RNAcentral. Lineage: Eukaryota; Viridiplantae; Streptophyta; Magnoliopsida; Malpighiales; Euphorbiaceae.